Trichechus manatus latirostris (Florida manatee) is the source of this 71-nucleotide non-coding RNA. The record is from the annotation of a RefSeq genome assembly. NCBI's taxonomy places the organism in Eukaryota, Metazoa, Chordata, Mammalia, Sirenia, Trichechidae.
GCAGUGGUAGUUCAGUGGUAGAAUUCUUGCCUUCUAAGCGGGAAACCCAAGUUCGAUUCCUGGCCAAUGCA